Molecule: non-coding RNA, 1065 nt
Organism: Sus scrofa (pig)
Lineage: Eukaryota; Metazoa; Chordata; Mammalia; Artiodactyla; Suidae
Source: RefSeq, a predicted model, not a curated record
AAGAACAGAACGUUUCUGUGGAGCAGGUGAGAGAGAAGGAGGAGUUAGAAAGAUCCGGAGGAGCCAGCCAUGGAGGGCUCCGGGGAGACUUUGUCAAAAACACAAAGCCCUCUUAACGGUGCCUGGGAACGUUAAGAAUACCUUUGUUUCCACAGCCUUCUGGAAUUACCAACUACUUCAAAAGCAUCUUGACUAUUGUAUCCCAACAAAGGAUAAGUAUCCCAACAAAGUCAGGAACCAAAACCCUUGGAAAUUUGCAAACCUCCUUCCAUGCAUCAGAGGGGGCUUCCUGAGAUUCCUGCUAAGCCGGAAACCGCUCGUCUCCAUGGAGUUGAUUGACUCUUAAUUAUUACCGCUUUGGCCACAACUCAAAAUCUCAAGACAUAUGAAGCUGAUGUAAACCUUUAUAUUAGUAUUGCUCUACUAUCAAUGUAUUUCAUAUGAAUUGGCUAACAGGCAGCAUCUUCAGUGACAGCAAAUAGCAAGAGUAGUUCUCCUAUUAUUGAUGCCAGGGAGCAAACUGUACAUUAUUUUUACAAGUGCCUGGGUGAAUGAAAGAUGCAUUACAGACAGAAUCAAUCACUGGAUACAGUGAAAAGAAAGGAGUAUAUGGAAACAUUUGCUGUGAGAAAAUCGCCGAGAGGAUGAAGAAUUACAGACAGCUUUAGUACCUCGUGUGAAAGAACAUGCAUCCUCCUGCCCUGCCCAGCUCCCCAAAAGGGAGCACCAUGAGUGCAGACAAGCUGGAGGGGGGAUAAUUGAGUUCUUAUUAGUAAUACAGAGGAAAUAACAAGCUUGAAUGUGAAGAUGACUAAAACCUGAAGACAUUUUCUCUCUGCUGCUGGCUGGCCAGUUUAUUGUAAAUUCUGUAUGAUUUAUGCACGUGAUUUAUGUAUCUAUAGUGAAAAGUUUCCUUGCCUCAUGCUUUUCCUUGGCAAACUAGCCAUAAUGCUUCUAAUGUUGUAUCAAAAUUACAUAUAAAUAUCAUCCUAAGUACAUCUAUUUUUUACAAUGGUUAUGAAAAUCUGCCGUGUCUUAAAAUGCCUUUCCUGAAAGCAAAUUAAA